This 253-nucleotide ribosomal RNA is filed under the name uncultured bacterium. Its description in RNAcentral is "partial 16S ribosomal RNA". It matches the Rfam family "Bacterial small subunit ribosomal RNA", at positions 524 to 776 of the family's 1533-position model. The record is from RNAcentral.
GACAGAGGGUGCAAGCGUUGUUCGGAAUUACUGGGCGUAAAGCGUGUGUAGGCGGCCAGACAAGUCGGAUGUGAAAGCCCCAGGCUCAACUCUGGACAGGCGGUGGAAACUACCAAGCUGGAGUACGGUAGGGGCAGAGGGAAUUUCCGGUGGAGCGGUGAAAUGCGUAGAGAUCGGAAAGAACACCAACGGAGAAAGCACUCUGCUGGGCCGACACUGACACUGAGAGACGAAAGCUAGGGGAGCGAAUGGG